UUUUCCUGCCGAGAGCGAUAUUAGCUAAGGAACAUUCAACUAAAAUACGCAGCCAGAGACGACGCUAAAAGUGACUUCGCUCAAAAUGAACACGUCUUGGAUCUAUCUGUUGGGUGUUCUGCUAUUUUUUGUUCCAAGUCUGAACGCUAAUAAUGCUGCCGGAGGUAGAGUUGGAGAUUGGACCAAGAUGUCCCUGAUGCCGGUGUGUUUCGAGGGCCGUAAUAAUCGUUAUGGACACUUCGUUAACAUGGGUGAAUCAAAAUUGGUUGCUGCCAUCAAGCUUGUCUACAAGUCAGGAAA
RNAcentral lists this long non-coding RNA (300 nucleotides) under Actinia tenebrosa (Australian red waratah sea anemone). RNAcentral's name for it is "uncharacterized LOC116303546, transcript variant X1". The record is from RNAcentral. Lineage: Eukaryota; Metazoa; Cnidaria; Anthozoa; Actiniaria; Actiniidae.